AGACCCGAAACCCGGUGAUCUAGCCAUGGGCAGGUUGAAGGUUGGGUAACACUAACUGGAGGACCGAACCGACUAAUGUUGAAAAAUUAGCGGAUGACCUGUGGCUGGGGGUGAAAGGCCAAUCAAACCGGGAGAUAGCUGGUUCUCCCCGAAAGCUAUUUAGGUAGCGCCUCGUGAAUUCAUCUCCGGGGGUAGAGCACUGUUUCGGCUAGGGGGCCAUCCCGGCUUACCAACCCGAUGCAAACUGCGAAUACCGGAGAAUGUUAUCACGGGAGACACACGGCGGGUGCUAACGUCCGUCGUGAAGAGGGAAACAACCCAGACCGCCAGCUAAGGUCCCAAAGUCAUGGUUAAGUGGGAAACGAUGUGGGAAGGCCCAGACAGCCAGGAUGUUGGCUUAGAAGCAGCCAUCAUUUAAAGAAAGCGUAAUAGCUCACUGGUCGAGUCGGCCUGCGCGGAAGAUGUAACGGGGCUAAACCAUGCACCGAAGCUGCGGCAGCGACACUGUGUGUUGUUGGGUAGGGGAGCGUUCUGUAAGCCUGUGAAGGUGUGUCGUGAGGCAUGCUGGAGGUAUCAGAAGUGCGAAUGCUGACAUAAGUAACGAUAAAGCGGGUGAAAAGCCCGCUCGCCGGAAGACCAAGGGUUCCUGUCCAACGUUAAUCGGGGCAGGGUGAGUCGACCCCUAAGGCGAGGCCGAAAGGCGUAGUCGAUGGGAAACGGGUUAAUAUUCCCGUACUUGGUGUUACUGCGAAGGGGGGACGGAGAAGGCUAUGUUGGCCGGGCGACGGUUGUCCCGGUUUAAGCGUGUAGGUGUGUGUUCCAGGUAAAUCCGGUUCACUUUAACACUGAGGCGUGACGACGAGGCACUACGGUGCUGAAGCAACAAAUGCCCUGCUUCCAGGAAAAGCCUCUAAGCAUCAGGUAACAUCAAAUCGUACCCCAAACCGACACAGGUGGUCAGGUAGAGAAUACCAAGGCGCUUGAGAGAACUCGGGUGAAGGAACUAGGCAAAAUGGUGCCGUAACUUCGGGAGAAGGCACGCUGACACGUAGGUGAAGUGAUUUACUCAUGGAGCUGAAGUCAGUCGAAGAUACCAGCUGGCUGCAACUGUUUAUUAAAAACACAGCACUGUGCAAACACGAAAGUGGACGUAUACGGUGUGACGCCUGCCCGGUGCCGGAAGGUUAAUUGAUGGGGUCAGCGCAAGCGAAGCUCCUGAUCGAAGCCCCGGUAAACGGCGGCCGUAACUAUAACGGUCCUAAGGUAGCGAAAUUCCUUGUCGGGUAAGUUCCGACCUGCACGAAUGGCGUAAUGAUGGCCAGGCUGUCUCCACCCGAGACUCAGUGAAAUUGAACUCGCUGUGAAGAUGCAGUGUACCCGCGGCAAGACGGAAAGACCCCGUGAACCUUUACUAUAGCUUGACACUGAACAUUGAGCCUUGAUGUGUAGGAUAGGUGGGAGGCUUUGAAGUGUGGACGCCAGUCUGCAUGGAGCCGACCUUGAAAUACCACCCUUUAAUGUUUGAUGUUCUAACGUGGACCCGUUACCCGGGUUGCGGACAGUGUCUGGUGGGUAGUUUGACUGGGGCGGUCUCCUCCUAAAGAGUAACGGAGGAGCACGAAGGUUGGCUAAUCCUGGUCGGACAUCAGGAGGUUAGUGCAAUGGCAUAAGCCAGCUUGACUGCGAGCGUGACGGCGCGAGCAGGUGCGAAAGCAGGUCAUAGUGAUCCGGUGGUUCUGAAUGGAAGGGCCAUCGCUCAACGGAUAAAAGGUACUCCGGGGAUAACAGGCUGAUACCGCCCAAGAGUUCAUAUCGACGGCGGUGUUUGGCACCUCGAUGUCGGCUCAUCACAUCCUGGGGCUGAAGUAGGUCCCAAGGGUAUGGCUGUUCGCCAUUUAAAGUGGUACGCGAGCUGGGUUUAGAACGUCGUGAGACAGUUCGGUCCCUAUCUGCCGUGGGCGCUGGAGAACUGAGGGGGGCUGCUCCUAGUACGAGAGGACCGGAGUGGACGCAUCACUGGUGUUCGGGUUGUCAUGCCAAUGGCACUGCCCGGUAGCUAAAUGCGGAAGAGAUAAGUGCUGAAAGCAUCUAAGCACGAAACUUGCCCCGAGAUGAGUUCUCCCUGAGACUUAAAGUCUCCUGAAGGAACGUUGAAGACGACGACGUUGAUAGGCCGGGUGUGUAAGCGCAGCGAUGCGUUGAGCUAACCGGUACUAAUGAACCGU
RNAcentral lists this ribosomal RNA (2225 nucleotides) under Salmonella enterica. RNAcentral's name for it is "partial 23S ribosomal RNA". It matches the Rfam family "Bacterial large subunit ribosomal RNA", at positions 711 to 2912 of the family's 2925-position model. The record is from RNAcentral. RNAcentral also lists the same sequence under 1 other name. Lineage: Bacteria; Pseudomonadati; Pseudomonadota; Gammaproteobacteria; Enterobacterales; Enterobacteriaceae.